CCUAACACAUGCAAGUCGAACGAAGGCUUCGGCCUUAGUGGCGCACGGGUGCGUAACGCGUGGGAACCUGCCCCUCGGUUCGGAAUAACAGUUAGAAAUGACUGCUAAUACCGGAUGAUGACUUCGGUCCAAAGAUUUAUCGCCGAGGGAUGGGCCCGCGUAGGAUUAGCUUGUUGGUGGGGUAAUGGCCUACCAAGGCGACGAUCCUUAGCUGGUCUGAGAGGAUGAUCAGCCACACUGGGACUGAGACACGGCCCAGACUCCUACGGGAGGCAGCAGUGGGGAAUAUUGGACAAUGGGCGAAAGCCUGACCCAGCAAUGCCGCGUGAGUGAUGAAGGCCUUAGGGUUGUAAAGCUCUUUUACCCGGGAUGAUAAUGACAGUACCGGGAGAAUAAG
Molecule: ribosomal RNA, 397 nt
Filed under: grassland soil clone saf3_101
Lineage: Bacteria
Description: bacterial SSU rRNA
Rfam family: Bacterial small subunit ribosomal RNA
Source: RNAcentral